RNAcentral lists this ribosomal RNA (253 nucleotides) under uncultured bacterium. Its description in RNAcentral is "partial 16S ribosomal RNA". It matches the Rfam family "Bacterial small subunit ribosomal RNA", at positions 524 to 776 of the family's 1533-position model. The record is from RNAcentral.
CACGUAGGGUGCAAGCGUUAAUCGGAAUUACUGGGCGUAAAGCGUGCGCAGGCGGUUGUGCAAGACCGAUGUGAAAUCCCCGGGCUUAACCUGGGACCUGCAUUUGUGACUGCAUUGCUAGAGUACGGUAGAGGGGGAUGGAAUUCCGCGUGUAGCAGUGAAAUGCGUAGAUAUGCGGAGGAACACCGAUGGCGAAGGCAAUCCCCUGGACCUGUACUGACGCUCAUGCACGAAAGCGUGGGGAGCAAACAGG